Long non-coding RNA from Lactuca sativa (garden lettuce), 729 nucleotides. RefSeq lists it as uncharacterized. NCBI's taxonomy places the organism in Eukaryota, Viridiplantae, Streptophyta, Magnoliopsida, Asterales, Asteraceae. The record is from RefSeq and is a predicted model, not a curated record.
UAAGCGUAAGGGUGUUUGACAACUUGCUGACCGGGUCUGGUCAGCAAUUUUUUUUUUUUUCUGAUUGGGUCCGGUCAAUAUUUGUCUGACCCGGUCCUUAAAUACUGACUCACACUACUGAUUCGGUCCUUGAAAAAAUAUAGUUUGACCGAGACCAAAGAUUUCUUUUAUCUCCUUUACUACCCUUCUCCCUAUUGCCAACGUUUUCUCCCUUCAGAAUCUCACCUCGAUCAUUCAACAUCUCCUCCCACCUGGAUCCUUUGUUUUCUUUGUUGCCGUCGUCCAAACUCGCGUCGCCGUUCACCGCUUUCCAACGAUGCCCAACUUCGAUGGAACCCCUUCCUCAGCCAGACGUCGUGUACACUUCUCUCCUCCAUCUCCCUCCAUUCCAGCGACUUCCUCCGCCACUCUGUCUUUGAGCGUUACCACACCAGCGAUUAUCUCCGGCCACCAAACAUGAGCACCGCCACCCAACACCUUCUUUCUCCAGCGGUCGGAUGGCUUUCGUUUAUUAGUUUUGUGUUUUUGCACAAAUCAAUUUGGCUUGAGAUGGUUAUUUAGGGCUAGGGUUUGUGUUUUGUGUAGUGCGAAUUUCCAUAUCUCCAGUUGAAUGCUUUGUGCUCUUAUUAGAUUUUGUGCUAAUUAAAAUAUGUAUUCUAUAAUCCUCUUUAUAACGAAUAUUUUCUGAUUAAUAAAGCUCUUUGGAUGGGUUGACGCAAGAAGACACAA